RNAcentral lists this small nuclear RNA (35 nucleotides) under Cervus elaphus hippelaphus. Lineage: Eukaryota; Metazoa; Chordata; Mammalia; Artiodactyla; Cervidae. The record is from RNAcentral.
UCGCUUCUCGGCCUUUUGGCUAAGAUCACGUGUAG